Molecule: ribosomal RNA, 429 nt
Filed under: Bacteroidota bacterium
Lineage: Bacteria; Pseudomonadati; Bacteroidota
Description: Bacteroidetes bacterium partial 16S ribosomal RNA
Rfam family: Bacterial small subunit ribosomal RNA
Source: RNAcentral
UAGGGAAUCUUCCGCAAUGGACGCAAGUCUUACGGAGCAACGCCGCGGGAGUGAAGAAGGAUUUCGGUUCGUAAAACUCUGUUGUUAGAGAAGAACAGCGCAUAGAGUAACUGUUAUGCGUGUGACGGUAUCUAACCAGAAAGCCACGGCUAACUACGUGCCAGCAGCCGCGGUAAUACGUAGGGGGCAAGCGUUGUCCGGAUUUAUUGGGCGUAAAGCGAGCGCAGGCGGUCAAUUAAGUCUGAUGUGAAAGCCCCCGGCUCAACCGGGGAGGGUCAUUGGAAACGGGUUGACUUGAGUGCAGAAGAGGAGAGUGAAAUUCCAUGUGUAGCGGUGAAAUGCGUAGAUAUAGGGGGGAACACGAGUGGCGAGGGCGACUCUCUGAUAUGUAACUGACGCUGGGGUUCGAAAGCGUGGGUAGAAAACAGG